RNAcentral lists this ribosomal RNA (156 nucleotides) under uncultured Bacillota bacterium. RNAcentral's name for it is "uncultured Firmicutes bacterium partial 16S ribosomal RNA". It matches the Rfam family "Bacterial small subunit ribosomal RNA", at positions 367 to 514 of the family's 1533-position model. Lineage: Bacteria; Bacillati; Bacillota. The record is from RNAcentral.
CGCAAUGGACGAAAGUCUGACGGAGCAACGCCGCGUGAGCGAAGACGGUCUUCGGAUCGUAAAGCUCUGUUGUUAGGGAAGAACAGGUACCGUUCGAAUAGGGCGGUACCUUGACGGUACCUAACCAGAAAGCCACGGCUAACUACGUGCCAGCAG